Long non-coding RNA from Lolium perenne, 477 nucleotides. RefSeq lists it as uncharacterized. The record is from RefSeq and is a predicted model, not a curated record. NCBI's taxonomy places the organism in Eukaryota, Viridiplantae, Streptophyta, Magnoliopsida, Poales, Poaceae.
UCACACAUCAACAACAAACAACACCUUUUUCUGUCAACACCACAAUUAGUAAGAUUACCGUCAAAACCAACUAGUUAAGAUGAGGACUAACCUGAUGUUGCUUCUCACCCUCGCCUUCCUUGUGCUAACAUCAGAUGCAGUAACAAAGCCAUCAACGGAAGGUAGCAUCGAACCCGAGGGAUGUACGUCAACCAUUAUCCCAGCGAAUACGCCAUGUGAAGCCCAGGAUUGCCAUGACCGAUGUCUAAAGUCGGUCAAUGGAUCUGGCGAGUGUGUUCCUGGUGGGUGCAAGUGCACAUUCUGCAUAUUUAUUUGCUCCAUUGCUCCACAGCAAUGAAGAAACAGGUACUAACUAGCUAAGAUAAGAUACCAUGUCCAGCGGAAUGUAACCGAUGAAAUCGCAAAGAAUGUAACGGAAAGGCUAUUCAGCGGAAUACAAUAAUAAAUGAUAAGUUGGACAGACCGUAAACUUCGUGA